RNAcentral lists this long non-coding RNA (1186 nucleotides) under Equus asinus (donkey). RNAcentral's name for it is "lncRNA (ENSEASG00005031754.1)". The record is from RNAcentral. Lineage: Eukaryota; Metazoa; Chordata; Mammalia; Perissodactyla; Equidae.
GAGAGAGGGGAGACCGCGGAGGCUGGGAUGACGUUGGGGAAAGCUCGGAUGCGGAGUUAAAAGCCAUCCAAAUAACAGCUCGGGGCCGGGAAGCCGGUGGCUGGAAAGAAGUCUGGGACUCCCGGGGCUGGAAAAGCGUAAAAUCUCGCGGAACUGGCACAGGUCCAUCAGGCUCCACUCCUCCAUCAGCCUUCCACUCGUGGAAGCCUGGAGCAGCAAGGAGGUGGGAAACUGGCAAAAGGGAAACCUUAGGAACCAGUAUAAAGUUGGGGUCCCAGAGCUGAUAGCAUAGGAAGCUAACCCAGGUCAUCAGGGUCCCGUGGGCUGGGUCUCGGGGCGCCUUCCGAGCUCUAAACCGGCGGGCGACGGAGAUGGCCUUGGGACCCACUCAGGGCCCGCCGGCGCAGUCGAGGACCUGAGCGCCAAGUCGAAGUCGUCCCAGCCGGAGGACUGGCGCCGCGCGCCGCGCUUCCUGACACUCCCCUGCUCCCCGGCCCAAGCCGCCCACGGUGCUGCGCGGCCAGGACUGCACCAUGACCUGCGCCUUCCUUGGGAACUCGCGGCCCACGGUGACCCUCUACAAGGGCGACGUCAACAUCAGGUUCUGAUAAAACUCCACCAGCGGCGUGUGCACAAUCGUCUUCCCCACCUGCACGCUCAAGGACAGCAGCGAGCACAGCGUGCCGGUGAAGGAGCUGGGCAAGGACCGUAGCAGCUGUGCGCUCACCAUCUACGUGAGGGCCCCGCGGAGCCGGACCUGAGGGGUGUGGGGGGUGCCCCGGGAGCAGCUGUGUCCCGUCUGGGGCAGAUGCGCAAAAUCACGGUCUCUGGGCUGUUGACAGACUCUUCUGGCAGGGCUGGCGCCGUUUUUUAUUUACUCUGCCAUCAGACCAAGAUGAUAAGUCAGUUCUAGCAUCAGUCACCGAGAGUCUGCAGAAGAAAUCCAAGCGUCUUAUGUGAGCUCCAGCCCAGCCCAGGCAUCAGGAGAAUGUUGUGCUGUGGGGCUUCUUGGCCUGUCCUCUGUGUGGCCUCAGUGAGGGAAGCCCAGUUUGCUCUCUGGUGCUUGUCACUGCAAACAUUCAGUGAAAGGAUGGGACAAUAAAUGGAGUGAGCUCACCCUUGCCUGUUCCUGAGUGUGGUGUGCAGCAGGAGUGGGAUGCGGAUACACAGAACCUGGACCCCUGAG